GACGAACGCUGGCGGCGUGCUUAACACAUGCAAGUCGAACGGAAAGGCCCUGCUUUUGUGGGGUGCUCGAGUGGCGAACGGGUGAGUAACACGUGAGUAACCUGCCCUUGACUUUGGGAUAACUUCAGGAAACUGGGGCUAAUACCGGAUAGGAGCUCCUGCUGCAUGGUGGGGGUUGGAAAGUUUCGGCGGUUGGGGAUGGACUCGCGGCUUAUCAGCUUGUUGGUGGGGUAGUGGCUUACCAAGGCUUUGACGGGUAGCCGGCCUGAGAGGGUGACCGGCCACUUGGGGACGGAGUUACGCCCCAGCCUCGUCCGGGGGGCAGAAGGGGGAAUUAUGGCACAAGGGGGGGAGCCUGGAUGCACAACCCCGGGGGGGGGAAGGGCGCCUUGGGGUUGUAAACCCGCUUUCGCCGGGGAGAAGGGGGGUGUGACGGUAGGGGAUAAAGAGGCCCGGCCUACCUCCGCC
This 468-nucleotide ribosomal RNA is filed under the name uncultured bacterium. RNAcentral's name for it is "partial 16S ribosomal RNA". It matches the Rfam family "Bacterial small subunit ribosomal RNA", at positions 28 to 509 of the family's 1533-position model. The record is from RNAcentral.